Molecule: ribosomal RNA, 1221 nt
Filed under: Triticum aestivum (bread wheat)
Lineage: Eukaryota; Viridiplantae; Streptophyta; Magnoliopsida; Poales; Poaceae
Description: partial small subunit ribosomal RNA
Source: RNAcentral
AUGGCGGUGUCGUCGUCGUCGUCGCGGGCGCGGGCGAGGUUGCUGGCGUGCGUGGCCGUGGCGGCGCUGCUGCUGGUCGCGCCGGGCGACGUGGACGCCGGGCAGCACGGGCGCGGGCGCGGGAGCGCGGCGCACAGGCACACCAAGGGACUGCGGCCGGGGAAGGCUGCGGGUGCGGCGGCGAGGCCGUACCCGGCGAACGCGACGGCGGGGGAGGCGAUCGAGCGGCGAUUCACGCGGUGGGUGCGGUUCAUGGGCGGCCUGGACCACAGCGUGUUCCAGCGCGCGCUCAACCGCGCGCUGCUCCCGACGACGCGCACGAUCGUCGUGGACAGGACGCCCGGGGCCGGCGACUUCACCACCAUCCAGGCCGCCGUCGACUCGCUCCCGCUCAUCAACCUGAUGCGCGUCGUCAUCAAGGUCAAUGCCGGCACCUACACGGAGAAGGUGAGCAUCUCGCCGUUGCGCGCGUUCGUGACGGUGGAGGGCGCGGGGGCUGACCGGACGGUGGUGCAGUGGGGCGACACGGCGGGCACGGCCGGGCCCUGGGGCCGCCCCUUCGGCACAUUCGCCUCCGCUACCUUCGCCGUCAACUCGCAGUUCUUCGUCGCCAAGAACAUCACCUUCAAGAACACCGCGCCGGUGCCCCGGCCGGGGGCGCUGGGGAAGCAGGGGGUGGCGCUGCGCAUAUCGGCGGACAACGCGGCGUUCGUGGGGUGCAACUUCCUGGGCGCGCAGGACACGCUGUAUGACCACCUGGGCCGCCACUACUACAAGGACUGCUACAUCGAGGGCUCCGUCGACUUCAUCUUCGGCAACGCCCUCUCCCUCUACGAGGGUUGCCACGUGCACGCGAUCUCGCCGCACACCGGCGCGCUGACGGCGCAGAACCGGCGGAGCAUGCUGGACGACACGGGGUUCUCCUUCCUCAACUGCCGGGUGACGGGGUCGGGGGCGCUCUACCUGGGCCGCGCCUGGGGCACCUUCUCCCGCGUCGUCUUCGCCUACACCUACAUGGACAACAUCAUCAUCCCGCGCGGCUGGUACAACUGGGGCGACCCAACGCGAGAGAUGACGGUGUUCUACGGGCAGUACAAGUGCUCCGGGCCGGGGGCCAACCACGCCGGCCGGGUGGACUGGUCCCGGGAGCUCACCGACGAGGAGGCCAAGCCAUUCAUCUCCCUCAGCUUCAUAGACGGCCUCGAGUGGCUCAAGUUGUAG